Malus domestica (apple) is the source of this 1468-nucleotide long non-coding RNA. RefSeq lists it as uncharacterized. NCBI's taxonomy places the organism in Eukaryota, Viridiplantae, Streptophyta, Magnoliopsida, Rosales, Rosaceae. The record is from RefSeq and is a predicted model, not a curated record.
AUCACCACCGGAGGAGCUUGAUCCAGCCAUCUUCUCAGGUAACACAGCUCAAAUGGUUAUAAAGGUACCACCUUUAAGGUUUUCUGAAUUUUUUUUUUAAUGGAUCUCUCUCACAGUAUCACGCCCUUUCUUCGGAAUCAGACCUAGUGCUCAGAUACCAUGUUUGAAAUGGUACCAGGCAUGUUGGUUGAGGUUGAUAAAGAUUGAAACUUUUAAUAAAAGGUUUGAAGAAAUCUGUGUUUUUCUAGAGAGAAAAGGAAGAGCAAGAGUCUGUGUAUUUUUCAUAUAUGAAGAAGAAAAGAAAAAUUACAAGGACUAUAUUUAUCACAGCUGGUCUAAAAACAGAUCCUACAUAUAGGGACCUAGAACUCCUCUCCGGCCAUUAAUGGUCAUCGGAGGAUAUCAUCCAUCCACUUGGAAGAAGAUGGGAAAGCUUAGUACAAUUAAAAAGACAAAAACACCAGCUGUAAUCUUUCUAAAACUAGAAAAAGAAACUAGCCGUUGAAUUUUAAUGGCUCCUUCUAAUUUAGGAAGGUCUUCAUUUCUUCACAUUUCUCAGCUCCCUUUCGAUUUCAUCUGCAGGUUUAGCUUCUGCAGGAUAACUCUAAAGCUAGGAGGCAGCUUAAUUCUCAACAAGCCAUGCAUUUAGAGCAGGCAAAACGAAGAAAGUCUUUGUGUAUGGAUUGAUGGUAGCCACUUCCCCUGAAGAGAAGAGGAUGAUGAUUAUUUCCGAAAAUGAUCCAACCUUUCUCUGGGUGGUGAUCGUUUAAGGAUGCGCGAACUUGAAUGGCUAUGAGUGUGCUCGAUAGCAACCAAAUUUGGGGGCAAUGAGGAUAGGGGUUGAAGUUGAAGAGAAGUGUGAGAUAGAUUCCGAGCUUAUUCAGUUGAAGAUGGAGACAAAUAUGGAAUUCUGGAUGCCGAGGAGAAGAAGCCUGACAAUAUAAGGAUCUUGAACCCGAAGAAGACAACAAAUGUCAUGCAGCUAUGUACUGGUGAAAUACGAGCAUCUGUAUUUCAAUGGAAAAUCAGGUGAAAUACAGGUACAGAGUGGUGCUGAAAAUUUUUCUCAUUAUGCUCCUAUGCCCAGUUGGUCGGGUGUAUAUGACAUGCAGUGAGCUCAGGGACACAAAUAGGUUAGUUCAUCCACGAUGCUAAGCCCUGUCUUGAAUGGUAUCUUGGAUGCCGCGAAAAGAACUUAUUACUAUUUAUUUGCAUGCCUGUGGAAAGGCCAGCGACAAUUUGUGGCGAUAUUCAUGGGCAAUUUCACUACCUUGCAGAGCUUUUUGAAUUGGAGCGUUUUCUUGCUUGCCAUUUUGAAUUAUUUCAAAUUAUGAAUGACUUUUUUUUUUUUUUUUACAACAUUGUUGAGUGGGUUUUGCUUAAGCUUUGGGGUUCUUAGUUUAUAUCAUAACAUUUGAUAUGGUUUCAUUUAUUUUGUCAACUUAGAUACUUUUCUAAAUAGAUUUUU